AAAAAUGCGAGCACAAGACAGAAGUCUCCAGGAGCUGGCUGCAGGCUCAUGAAAGAAGUGGAGAUCACGCGCGAGGAAAGAUGUUUCCUGCUGUCGCGCUCUUAUGGGUGUUUGUUCAGCUUUGCAGUGCGCGUGACAUGAUGUGCACCGUCACUCACGCUGGCAAAAAGACUACAUACAACAUCUCAGACCUGUCCCCUGAUAUACGAAACGAGGCUUCCCGCUGCAUGUUUAUGUGGUCCAAUGCAACCGAUUUUGUGAUCGCACACCACGGGGGCCUGUUCCUGCAGCCCGUGAUGAGCAGCAGCUUUGGCACACUAAUCACCUCCAAAUGCAUCGGCAACGUUAGCUUCACAGCCGCUUGCGUGAUAAAGCAAAGAGCAUAUGAUUACACAGCCAGCUGCACCCCCGUCUGCCCUCCACAAGCUCUGAUUGAUGACACAGGAAUGCCUCCUUCCCAGAUCGGUGUCAUUGUAGUAGAUUUCAUUGUCCUGCUGGUGCUCGGCCUCGUGUGCUUCCUGUGCUACAAAUAUAGACUUUGGAGUAAAUGCUGUGGCCAGACUGGAGGCAUCUACCCUCGUGUGAUGUUUAAGAAGGCUCCGCAAGCAAAAGCUGAUGUGGAGACAGGAGGAGGAUAGAGCAGCUUCUCGGUGCACGAUAAAUCUAUAGCCAUGCUUUCUCCGUCCUUUCCCCUGCAUUACUUAAGUAGCAGUAUGCUUGCAUUAAUAUAUCAUCUCUGCGGGUUUGCUUUUCUGUAUUUUGCCGGGCGGCUUUUUGGGACAAGACAGUUACAGCAUGAAAUCCAUGUUACAGGAUAUUAGAGGCUUGAUGUGCCAAACUCUAACAUAAGAGUUCCUCCUUCCACACUGUUCAAUUCAAUUUUAUUUGUAUGAAAGCAAAAUGGCAACAGUAGUUUGAGGCUCUUCUGUGGCCUCAUCAAUGCUAAAAAACGCUGUGACUGAUGAAAGGUCAUUGAUUUCUUCCCACACAGACAAACCUCAGCUCAGUGUUAGAAACUGUAUCCUGUUACAGCGCUGUUUCAUUAAUUCCACUUGCCGGUUAGCUGUGAGGGAUUGGUGCACAGGUGAAAAGUUCUCUGGGCUGUGGAAGCUCUCAGACUCUUUGCUGCACCAGUGAGUGCACUUUGAGGACCCAGUAGCAUGAAUAAAUUAACAAUGACCCCCCUACUUCCAGCCAGGACCCCCAUGUUAGUGUUAAUGAUGUAAACCAGCUGUGGAAGCUCGGAGACUCGUAAUGCAGCACCAGGGCGUGCACUUUCAGUGUCCUAUAGCAUUACAGCACAUAGUAUAUAUGCAUACAACACUAUAAAGAAUAUUAUAAAUAACUUAUUAUCCAAAUGUUGCUAAUAUUUUUAUAAUAUGUUUAUUAUUAUUUCUAUUAUAUAAGAUAUAUAUGUUUAUAAUAAUUAUAAAUACACUACCUGGGGUUGAGAUGCAAUAAUAAAGUACAGUGUACUUGUAUUGUAGUACUGGAUUGCUUGUGAUUAUGACCAGUUAUUAUGAAUGUUUUAGUCCUAAAUAAUGCAUCAUGAAUCCUGCCUUAUCAAACGUGUGUGUGUGUGUGUGUGUGAUCAGGCUCACCAAAUCAUUUUUCUGUAUCACGUUUCUUGUAUUUGUUUUUGCUGUUGUCACAGUUUCAUGUUAAUUUUACAGCUAAUGCACCUGCAAAGAAUAAAAUCACUUUGUCUAAAAGCAC
Molecule: long non-coding RNA, 1716 nt
Organism: Astatotilapia calliptera (eastern happy)
Lineage: Eukaryota; Metazoa; Chordata; Actinopteri; Cichliformes; Cichlidae
Source: Ensembl